This 496-nucleotide ribosomal RNA is filed under the name uncultured bacterium. Its description in RNAcentral is "partial 16S ribosomal RNA". It matches the Rfam family "Bacterial small subunit ribosomal RNA", at positions 29 to 507 of the family's 1533-position model. The record is from RNAcentral.
AUGAACGCUGGCGGCGUGCCUCAUACAUGCCAGUCGAGCGCACAGACGAGGAGCUUGCUCCUCUGACGUUAGCGGCGGACGGGUGAGUAACACGUGGAUAACCUACCUAUAAGACUGGGAUAACUUCGGGAAACCGGAGCUAAUACCGGAUAAUAUAUUGAACCGCAUGGUUCAAUAGUGAAAGACGGUUUUGCUGUCACUUAUAGAUGGAUCCGCGCCGCAUUAGCUAGUUGGUAAGGUAACGGCUUACCAAGGCAACGAUGCGUAGCCGACCUGAGAGGGUGAUCGGCCACACUGGAACUGAGACACGGUCCAGACUCCUACGGGAGGCAGCAGUAGGGAAUCUUUCGCAAUGGGCGAAAGCCUGACGGAGCAACGCCGCGUGAGUGAUGAAGGUCUUCGGAUCGUAAAACUCUGUUAUUAGGGAAGAACAAAUGUGUAAGUAACUAUGCACGUCUUGACGGUACCUAAUCAGAAAGCCACGGCUAACUACGUG